AUUCCAGCUCCAAUAGCGUAUAUUAAAGUUGUUGCGGUUAAAAAGCUCGUAGUUGGAUUUCUGCUGAGGACGACCGGUCCGCCCUCUGGGUGAGUAUCUGGCUUGGCCUUGGCAUCUUCUUGGAGAACGUAGCUGCACUUGACUGUGUGGUGCGGUAUCCAGGACUUUUACUUUGAGGAAAUUAGAGUGUUUCAAGCAGGCACACGCCUUGAAUACAUUAGCAUGGAAUAAUAAGAUAGGAUCUCGGUUCUAUUUUGUUGGUUUCUAGAGCUGAGGUAAUGAUUGAUAGGGAUAGUUGGGGGCAUUCGUAUUUAACUGUCAGAGGUGAAAUUCUUGGAUUUUGGAAAGAUGAACUACUGCGAAGGCAUUUACCAAGGAUGUUUUCAUUA
Molecule: ribosomal RNA, 389 nt
Filed under: Gyrodinium sp.
Lineage: Eukaryota; Dinophyceae; Gymnodiniales; Gymnodiniaceae
Description: partial small subunit ribosomal RNA
Rfam family: Eukaryotic small subunit ribosomal RNA
Source: RNAcentral